This 77-nucleotide transfer RNA is filed under the name Bacillota bacterium. Its description in RNAcentral is "tRNA-Lys". It matches the Rfam family "tRNA". From Rfam's summary of the family: Transfer RNA (tRNA) molecules are approximately 80 nucleotides in length. Their secondary structure includes four short double-helical elements and three loops (D, anti-codon, and T loops). The record is from RNAcentral. RNAcentral also lists the same sequence under 1 other name. Lineage: Bacteria; Bacillati; Bacillota.
CUCCCGCUAGCUCAGUCGGUUAGAGCACUUGCCUUUUAAGCAAGGGGUCGAAGGUUCAAUUCCUUCGCGGGAGACCA